Molecule: ribosomal RNA, 492 nt
Filed under: uncultured bacterium
Lineage: Bacteria
Description: partial 16S ribosomal RNA
Rfam family: Bacterial small subunit ribosomal RNA
Source: RNAcentral
AGUGAACGCUGGCGGUAGGCUUAACACAUGCAAGUCGAACGGCAGCACAGUAAGAGCUUGCUCUUACGGGUGGCGAAUGGCGGACGGGUGAGGAAUACAUCGUAACCUACUUUUUCGUGGGGGAUAACGUAGGGAAACUUACGCUAAUACCGCAUACGACCUACGGGUGAAAGCAGGGGAUCUUUGGACCUUGCGCGAUUGAACGAGCCGAUGUCGGAUUAGCUGGUUGGCGGGGCAACGGCCCACCCAGGCGACGAUCCGUAGCUGGUCUGAGAGGAGGGUCGGCCACACUGGAGCGGAGACACGGACCAGGCUCCUGCGGGACGGAGCAGUCGGGUAUGUGGGACAAUGGGCGCGAGCAUGAUCCAGCCAGACCGAGUGGGUGGAGGAGACCUUCGGGUUGUAAAGCCCUUUUGUUGGGAGAGAAAAGCAGCAGGUUAAUACCCCGCUGUUCUGACGGUACCCAAAGAAGAAGCACCGGCUAACUACGUG